Molecule: ribosomal RNA, 581 nt
Filed under: Kwoniella heveanensis
Lineage: Eukaryota; Fungi; Basidiomycota; Tremellomycetes; Tremellales; Cryptococcaceae
Description: partial large subunit ribosomal RNA
Rfam family: Eukaryotic large subunit ribosomal RNA
Source: RNAcentral
AAACUAACAAGGAUUCCCCUAGUAACGGCGAGUGAACCGGGAAGAGCUCAAAUUUGAAAUCUGGCGUCCUUCGGGCGUCCGAGUUGUAAUCUAUAGAAACGUUUUCCGUGCCGGACCGUGUCCAAGUCCCUUGGAACAGGGUAUCAGAGAGGGUGACAAUCCCGUACUUGACACGACGACCGGUGCUCUGUGAUACGUUCUCUACGAGUCGAGUUGUUUGGGAAUGCAGCUCAAAAUGGGUGGUAAACUCCAUCUAAAGCUAAAUAUUGGUGGGAGACCGAUAGCGAACAAGUACCGUGAGGGAAAGAUGAAAAGCACUUUGGAAAGAGAGUUAAACAGUAUGUGAAAUUGUUGAAAGGGAAACGAUUGAAGUCAGUCGUGACCGUUGGGUUCAGCCGGUUCUGCCGGUCUACUCCCUUCGGUCGGGUCAACAUCGGUUUUGACCGGCGGAUAAGGAAGGGAGGAAUGUGGCACCCUCCGGGGUGUGUUAUAGCCUCUCGUCGCAUACGUCGGUCGAGACCGAGGAACGCAGCUCGCCUUUAUGGCCGGGGUUCGCCCACGUCCGAGCUUAGGAUGUUGAC